Callorhinus ursinus (northern fur seal) is the source of this 338-nucleotide non-coding RNA. The record is from RefSeq and is a predicted model, not a curated record. Lineage: Eukaryota; Metazoa; Chordata; Mammalia; Carnivora; Otariidae.
AAAUUUCUCAAUAGCAACAUGGGCAAGAGGGAGACAACUGAUAAAUAACUUCCAAUCUAGAAUUUAUUCCCAAACUGUCAGGAAAAGCACUCCUGAAGAGGAAACAGAUAAUGAUGACUUCAGGAAUACAACCCCUCAAAAGCACAUACACAAUGCCGAGAAAUAAACCAGUCGACACUGAGAGGCAAAUAACAGUGAAGAGCAUGGGCUCUAAAGCCAGGUAGCCUGGGUGUGAGCGCCAAACUUCUUAGCCACGACACCAAGAACACGGUACUGAUCCUCUCUAUGCCUCGGGCAGCUCAUUUGUAAAAUGGGGAUUAAAGACUAGCUGGCUCUUA